This 830-nucleotide ribosomal RNA is filed under the name uncultured marine crenarchaeote. RNAcentral describes it as "bacterial SSU rRNA". It matches the Rfam family "Archaeal small subunit ribosomal RNA", at positions 80 to 912 of the family's 1478-position model. Lineage: Archaea; Thermoproteati; Thermoproteota. The record is from RNAcentral.
GGCAGACGGCUCAGUAACACGUAGUCAAUCUAACCUAUGGAUGGGAAUAACCUCGGGAAACUGAGAAUAAUACCCAAUAGAUCAUUAUGCCUGGAAUGGUUUAUGAUUCAAAUGAUUUUUCGCCAUAGGAUGGGACUGCGAUCUAUCAGCUUGUUGGUGAGGUAAUGGCCCACCAAGGCUAUAACUGAUACGGGCUCUGAGAGGAGAAGCCCGGAGAUGGGUACUGAGACACGGACCCAGGCCCUAUGGGGCGCAGCAGGCGAGAAAACUUUGCAAUGUGCGAAAGCACGACAAGGUUAAUCCGAGUGUUUUCUGCUAAAGAAAUCUUUUGUCAGUCCUAAAAACACUGAUGAAUAAGGGGUGGGCAAGUUCUGGUGUCAGCCGCCGCGGUAAAACCAGCACCUCAAGUGGUCAGGAGGAUUAUUGGGCCUAAAGCAUCCGUAGCCGGCUGUGUAAGUUUUCGGUUAAAUCUAUGUGCUCAACAUAUAGGCUGCCGAGAAUACUGUACAGCUAGGGAGUGGGAGAGGUAGACGGUACUCGGUAGGAAGGGGUAAAAUCCUUUGAUCUAUUGAUGACCACCUGUGGCGAAGGCGGUCUACUAGAACACGUCCGACGGUGAGGGAUGAAAGCUGGGGGAGCAAACCGGAUUAGAUACCCGGGUAGUCCCAGCUGUAAACUAUGCAAACUCAGUGAUGCACUGGCUUGUGGCCAGUGCCAGUGCCGCAGGAAGCCGUUAAGUUUGCCGCUGGGAAGUACGUACGCAAGUAUGAAACUUAAAGGAAUUGGCGGGGGAGCACCACAAGGGGUGAAGCCUGCGGUUCAAUUGGAUU